This 76-nucleotide transfer RNA is filed under the name Cohnella suwonensis. RNAcentral describes it as "tRNA-Lys". It matches the Rfam family "tRNA". From Rfam's summary of the family: Transfer RNA (tRNA) molecules are approximately 80 nucleotides in length. Their secondary structure includes four short double-helical elements and three loops (D, anti-codon, and T loops). Lineage: Bacteria; Bacillati; Bacillota; Bacilli; Caryophanales; Paenibacillaceae. The record is from RNAcentral.
GGGUCCAUAGCUCAGUCGGAAGAGCAACCGGCUUUUAACCGGUUGGCCGGAGGUUCGAACCCUCCUGGACCCACCA